ACAGGGAUUGCCCUAGUAACGGCGAGUGAAGCGGCAACAGCUCAAAUUUGAAAUCUGGCGUCUUUGGCGUCCGAGUUGUAAUUUGCAGAGGGCGCUUUGGCAUCGGCAGCGGUCCAAGUUCCUUGGAACAGGACGUCACAGAGGGUGAGAAUCCCGUACGUGAUCGCUAGCCUUUACCGUGUAAAGCCCCUUCGACGAGUCGAGUUGUUUGGGAAUGCAGCUCUAAAUGGGAGGUAAAUUUCUUCUAAAGCUAAAUACUGGCCAGAGACCGAUAGCGCACAAGUAGAGUGAUCGAAAGAUGAAAAGCACUUUGGAAAGAGAGUUAAAAAGCACGUGAAAUUGUUGAAAGGGAAGCGCUUGCAGCCAGACUUGCCUGUAGUUGCUCAUCCGGGUUUUUAUCCGGUGCACUCUUCUAUAGGCAGGCCAGCAUCAGUUUGGGCGGUUGGAUAAAGGUCUCUGUCAUGUACCUCUCUUCGGGGAGAACUUAUAGGGGAGACGACAUGCAACCAGCCUGGACUGAGGUCCGCGCAUCUGCUAGGAUGCUGGCGUAAUGGCUGUAAGCGGCCCGUCUUGAAACACGGACCAAGGAGUCUAACAUCUAUGCGAGUGUUUGGGUGUCAAGCCCGAACGCGUAAUGAAAGUGAACGGAGGUGGGAACCUUUCGGGGUGCACCAUCGACCGAUCCUGAUGUCUUCGGAUGGAUUUGAGUAAGAGCAUAGCUGUUGGGACCCGAAAGAUGGUGAACUAUGCUUGAAUAGGGUGAAGCCAGAGGAAACUCUGGUGGAGGCUCGCAGCGGUUCUGACGUGCAAAUCGAUCGUCAAAUUUGGGCAUAGGGGCGAAAGACUAAUCGAACUAUCUAGUAGCUGGUUCCUGCCGAAGUUUCCCUCAGGAUAGCAGUAACGUUUUCAGUUUUAUGAGGUAAAGCGAAUGAUUAGAGGCCUGGGGGUUGAAACAACCUU
Molecule: ribosomal RNA, 960 nt
Filed under: Neodidymelliopsis cannabis
Lineage: Eukaryota; Fungi; Ascomycota; Dothideomycetes; Pleosporales; Didymellaceae
Description: eukaryotic LSU rRNA
Rfam family: Eukaryotic large subunit ribosomal RNA
Source: RNAcentral